AGUAAUGUAUGGGGAUCUGCCCGAUAGAGGGGGAUAACUACUGGAAACGGUGGCUAAUACCGUAUAAUGUCUACGGACCAAAGCAGGGGCUCUUCGGACCUUGCACUAUCGGAUGAACCCAUAUGGGAUUAGCUAGUAGGUGGGGUAAAGGCUCACCUAGGCGACGAUCUCUAGCUGGUCUGAGAGGAUGAUCAGCCACACUGGGACUGAGACACGGCCCAG
RNAcentral lists this ribosomal RNA (222 nucleotides) under uncultured bacterium. Its description in RNAcentral is "partial 16S ribosomal RNA". It matches the Rfam family "Bacterial small subunit ribosomal RNA", at positions 109 to 334 of the family's 1533-position model. The record is from RNAcentral.